UAUGAACCUGGUUUAUAACUUAUACGAUUAAUCUACAACCUACUAUUAAAUCCUAAAUUUAUUAGCAUUAAGUUACUGCAUUUCAGUCUCCCUUGGUUGGGCUGCAUGUUAUUUGGGAAAAAUUUAAAUGUUAAUUUAUUUUUUAACAACCACACACAAACACUAACCAAGUAAACAAAAUUGAGGGUUAUCAAAUUAAGCACCAAAAUUCUCUAAAAAGAAUAAACCACUGCCAUGUAGUUUAGGUUUAUUUUUACUACCUAAAGUUAUUUCAUACCUGGAUUCUACCCCAGUUUUGUAGCUUGAUUUUAAUAUUUUAACCCUUUUUCCUAUAUCCUUAAAACUGAAAAAGAAAGAAAGUUUAAAAUUAUCCAUUAAAUAAAAUUUAAUUUAAAAGUA
Molecule: ribosomal RNA, 399 nt
Filed under: Cyclops bohater
Lineage: Eukaryota; Metazoa; Arthropoda; Copepoda; Cyclopoida; Cyclopidae
Description: partial 12S ribosomal RNA
Source: RNAcentral